Molecule: ribosomal RNA, 252 nt
Filed under: uncultured bacterium
Lineage: Bacteria
Description: partial 16S ribosomal RNA
Rfam family: Bacterial small subunit ribosomal RNA
Source: RNAcentral
UACGGGGGGGUAAGCGUUGUUCGGAAUUCCUGGGCGUAAAGGGCUCGUAGGCGGCCAACUAAGUCAUACGUGAAAUCCCUCAGCUUAACUGGGGAACUGCGUGUGAUACUGGAUGGCUUGGAUUUGGGAGAGGGAUGCGGAAUUCCAGGUGUAGCGGUGAAAUGCGUAGAUAUCUGGAGGAACACCGGUGGCGAAGGCGGCAUCCUGGACCAAUAUUGACGCUGAGGAGCGAAAGCCAGGGGAGCAAACGGG